UCCUGACUUCACAGGUCUUAAAAACGAGGCAUUGUCGACUUUUAUUUUGACAAUAAGCUACAGACAUUUUCCCGGAAGUAAAUAAAAUAAUUAUCAGGGCGAUGAACCGAGGACAUGAGCGCCGCUGAUGCAGACAUGGUCCCUUCAGAUUUCAAGUGUUUAGUGAGACGUUUUUACGAACUUCAGGCUGAGCGCGUGGAGGCAUAUAAACUUUUUGAAGAAGGUCAUGAGGCGUACCUGAGGACGGGGCCGGAGUACGACUUUGAGCAGUACAAACAGCUGGUUCAUGAGAUCACCAAAGCCUUCUGUGGAAUCUCCAAAGAGGUUCUAGAGAUAAAAGAGCGUCUUCACCAAGACUUCGACCGACCAGAUCUCUCCGAACACCUCGAGAAGCUGCAGACCAAAGAGAAACAGAAACUAGAGCUGACUGCAAAAUUACAGCUUGCCAAGCAGAGUGCACAAGAUCAUCCAGAAGACCAGAGCUACCAGGAAAAGGUUCAGGAGAUCAAACAAGUAUCACAGACGUCACCUGAUUUUGGGUCGAGAUGCAUUGUGUAAUGUGACAACGCCUCACAUUUGUGUGUGUGGAACAUGAGUACAGCUCUCAUAGAAAGAAAAGAAGAACAUCAUAAAAACCAAGGAGUCUCUGAGUGAAAUCAUGCAGGAUUUUAAAUAUGACUCAGAAGAUGCAGAUUGACUCCGAGAGACUGCGAACUCUCUCUAGACCCUGUCUAUAGACCCUGACACUUCAGGAACAUUUAUCUGAUCUGUACCUGAACGUUUAGAUCAGUCUGGACUUUAAAAUCAUAACCCCUUUUUUUGCUCCCAGGCAGAAUCAUUUUAAAAAGGUUCAUUUAAGAAGAGAUUCCAAAGGAAACCUUUGGGAUGCCGUUUCUGAAGAAAUGGUUUAGAAUUUUAUCUCGUUCAUGUGGCUCUGUACUAUGUUUUUAAAUGUAGAUUAAUUAAACCAGUUGUUCACCAUGUA
This is an RNA transcript of Tachysurus vachellii, 985 nucleotides long. It is a transcript of the gene named required for excision 1-B domain containing, with no coding region annotated. The transcript is spliced from 6 exons. NCBI's taxonomy places the organism in Eukaryota, Metazoa, Chordata, Actinopteri, Siluriformes, Bagridae. The record is from RefSeq and is a predicted model, not a curated record.